This 346-nucleotide unclassified non-coding RNA is filed under the name Hevea brasiliensis (rubber tree). The record is from RNAcentral. Lineage: Eukaryota; Viridiplantae; Streptophyta; Magnoliopsida; Malpighiales; Euphorbiaceae.
UCAUGGGAAUUUGAAUCUGCAGAAGAAGUAGAGCCUCAAUCAGAAAAAGAAAAAUCCCUUGAAGAUGAGUUACCAAUAGAGUUUCCACAAGAAAAUGAGUUACUUGAAGAAGAAAUAGAACUUAAAGUUGAAGAAAACAACUUUUUUAUCCUUGGAGAGUCAUUGGAAGAGGGCUUAUAUGGAAAUGAGUCAGAAAAGAAGUUGGUGGUUGAGGAAAUUGAUAAAACCAUCAACUUGAGCUCAUUGAUGGAUCUUUCACAUACACCAUCAGAAGACCCUUAUCUCUCAUGGAUACCUCCUUCAUCAUUUUAUAUCCCCCAUGAGCUAAAACUUUCUUCAACCCAAG